CACGUAGGGGGCAAGCGUUGUCCGGAUUUAUUGGGCGUAAAGAGCGUGUAGGCGGCCCGGUAAGUCCGCUGUGAAAGUCGGGGGCUCAACCCUCGAAUGCCGGUGGAUACUGUCGGGCUAGAGUGCGGAAGAGGCGAGUGGAAUUCCUGGUGUGAGCGGUGAAAUGCGCAGAUAUCAGGAGGAACACCAAUUGCGAAGGCAGCUCGCUGGGACGUAACUGACGCUGAGACGCGAAAGCGUGGGGAGCAAACAGG
This 254-nucleotide ribosomal RNA is filed under the name uncultured bacterium. RNAcentral describes it as "partial 16S ribosomal RNA". It matches the Rfam family "Bacterial small subunit ribosomal RNA", at positions 524 to 776 of the family's 1533-position model. The record is from RNAcentral.